This is a long non-coding RNA of Aegilops tauschii subsp. strangulata, 1118 nucleotides long. RefSeq lists it as uncharacterized. NCBI's taxonomy places the organism in Eukaryota, Viridiplantae, Streptophyta, Magnoliopsida, Poales, Poaceae. The record is from RefSeq and is a predicted model, not a curated record.
UCGGCGGCGACCGGAAUACUCCACGGCGCUCCCAGGCGGCGGCUUUCCCCUCCCUCACCGCUCACCCUCGGCCACUCCCUAUUCCUCUCCGCCCCUGCCCGCUCCGGCUCUCGCUGCCGCUGCCGCGGGGCGCCGCUAAGGGCACCCGAUAUAGGCGGAGGCGGCUGGCGAAUGGCCCGGUUCGCUAGGGCGUCCAAGGAUUCUGGGAAGCUUGAGAUGCUCCCGUCAAUCCAGCUUCGGGCACUGCGACUGCAAGAUCUACGGCUUCAACGACGACGUGGUGUCCGAUUUCGAUUUCGGAUGGAGACAAACAUGCGAGGUUCAUCAGAGCAUGGUUUUCUUCAGGAGUUCACUUCUCUCCCACCGUUUUAGUCGGCGUGUCUCUGAUACUAUUGGGACGUAAUUGAUGCAUUUUAUUUUGGAGAUGGAUAUGUUAGUGCCGAGCUACAAAACCUACUGUUGUUGUAGGCUUCCAGCUUCAGCGUGUUGAUAAUGGACACCACAAUCAUCAUAACAUCAGCCAUUCAGCAUGAAUUUACUUGUUGUAGGCUUCCAGCUUCAGCGUGUCGAUAAUGGACACCACAAUCAUCAUAACAUCAGCCAUUGGGCAUUAAUUUACUUGUUGUAGGCUUCCAGCUUCAGCAUGUCGAAAAAGGACACCACAAUCAUCAUAACAUUGACAACCUUAUCUACCGCUUUUCAUGAAUUUGGACAUGCUCUUGCAGCUGCAAGGUAUAUAUCUUAUCCGCCCGGACAUGCUCCUUUUUGGUUACAAUGUUGAGAUGCUCAUUUCUGAAUAUUCAACAGCGAGGGCGUGUCCAGAUGGAAUAUGUUGCAGUAUUCAUAGCUGGACCUUUUCCUAGGGCUUUAGUUGCUCUGAACUAUGACCAGCUGCAGAAUCUAACGUUUUUCUCAAUGCUUCGGAUUUAUUGUGCGGGGAUUUGGCAUAAUGUUAUGGUAAGUAAUAGUUUAAUUAGAAAAUGUUUGCUCAAAACAUUUAUUAUCAUUAUCCGUGGUAUGCCCUGCUCACCUGUAGAGAUCCGUUGUGCUCAGAUAUAAUUUGUAUUCUUUCAGUAGUGAGGUCAUCAAACAAGAAAUAAGAAUAAUUACUUUAUGCA